CCUACGGGUGGCAGCAGUCGGGAAUAUUGCGCAAUGGAGGAAACUCUGACGCAGUGACGCCGCGUGCAGGAAGAAGGUUUUCGGAUUGUAAACUGCUUUAGACAGGGAAGAAAAAAGACAGUACCUGUAGAAUAAGCUCCGGCUAACUACGUGCCAGCAGCCGCGGUAAUACGGGGGAUGCAAGCGUUAUCCGGAUUUAUUGGGUUUAAAGGGUGGGCAGGCGGGCCUUUAAGCCGGCGGGGAAAGCGCGGGGCUCAACCCCGCCGAGCCGGCGGAACGGGGGGCCGUGAGUGCGGCGGAGGCAUGCGGAAUGCGCGGUGUAGCGGUGAGAUGCAUAGAUAUCGCGCAGAACCCCGAUUGCGAAGGCAGCGUGCCGUGCCGCCACUGACGCUGAGGCACGAAAGCGCGGGGAUCGAACAGGAUUAGAUACCCUUGUAGUC
This 440-nucleotide ribosomal RNA is filed under the name uncultured bacterium. RNAcentral describes it as "partial 16S ribosomal RNA". It matches the Rfam family "Bacterial small subunit ribosomal RNA", at positions 338 to 795 of the family's 1533-position model. The record is from RNAcentral.